This is a long non-coding RNA of Prionailurus viverrinus (fishing cat), 256 nucleotides long. RefSeq lists it as uncharacterized. The transcript has 3 exons. Lineage: Eukaryota; Metazoa; Chordata; Mammalia; Carnivora; Felidae. The record is from RefSeq and is a predicted model, not a curated record.
GGGGGAGACCACUGCCGACUCACGGAGCUUGGGGCCAACGCGCGAGCUAGGAUCCGACCCCGGGAGCCUGCUCAGGGAUCCAAGAGCAUAGUCAACUGGCAAGACAGAUAAAGAUACUGAAGAGAGAGGACCUCUGAUAAUGACUUCACAAUUUCCUUGGCCCUAAGGAAACAACUCCAAAAGAAGAAGAGGAGAUUAGGACAUAGACAAGACAGGAACAACCAUGUAAGGAUACAAGGAGAAGGCUGCAAUCUGC